This 212-nucleotide long non-coding RNA is filed under the name Elaeis guineensis (African oil palm). Its description in RNAcentral is "long non-coding RNA (EGUI_LNC001745)". Lineage: Eukaryota; Viridiplantae; Streptophyta; Magnoliopsida; Arecales; Arecaceae. The record is from RNAcentral.
GGAGCAUGACAUUCUCUCUCUAUCAAAUCUAUGAACUCUAGUAAGGGUUUCAAGUUCCUCCACUAAAAACCCUUAUCUUAACAUUUGCUAGGUAUAUCUGGAAUCUGAUUACCAUUGACCCCUAUUUAGUGAUCCAAACUAUAGCCAAUCUUGGUUAGUUGAGUUUAUCAUGUUUGGACCAACCACUGCUGCCUGGUGAACCUUAUCCUUCC